This 270-nucleotide small RNA is filed under the name Pan troglodytes (chimpanzee). RNAcentral describes it as "processed transcript". Lineage: Eukaryota; Metazoa; Chordata; Mammalia; Primates; Hominidae. The record is from RNAcentral.
GGAGCACCUGGAAGCGGCCAGCCAGCAGAACCAGCAGCUAACAGCCCAGCCUAGCCUCAUGGCUCUCCCUGGGGAAGGACACGGAGGAGAACAUCUGGACAGUGAGGGGGAGGAGGCACCUCGCCCAUGCAGAGUGUCCCAGAGGACCUGGAGAACAGGGAGGCCAUGAGCAGCUUUAUGGACCACCUGGAGGAGAAGGCAGACCUGAGUGAGCUGGUGAAGAAAAAAGAACUUUGCUUCAUCCGCCACUGGCGAGAGAGUUGCCAUCAG